UGUAACGGGGCUAAACCAUGCACCGAAGCUGCGGCAGCGACGCUGAUGCGUUGUUGGGUAGGGGAGCGUUCUGUAAGCCUGCGAAGGUGGCCUGUGAGGGUUGCUGGAGGUAUCAGAAGUGCGAAUGCUGACAUAAGUAACGAUAAAGCGGGUGAAAAGCCCGCUCGCCGGAAGACCAAGGGUUCCUGUCCAACGUUAAUCGGGGCAGGGUGAGUCGACCCCUAAGGCGAGGCCGAAAGGCGUAGUCGAUGGGAAACGGGUUAAUAUUCCCGUACUUGGUGUUACUGCGAAGGGGGGACGGAGAAGGCUAUGUUGGCCGGGCGACGGUUGUCCCGGUUUAAGCGUGUAGGUGUGUGUUCCAGGUAAAUCCGGUUCACUUUAACACUGAGGCGUGACGACGAGGCACUACGGUGCUGAAGCAACAAAUGCCCUGCUUCCAGGAAAAGCCUCUAAGCAUCAGGUAACAUCAAAUCGUACCCCAAACCGACACAGGUGGUCAGGUAGAGAAUACCAAGGCGCUUGAGAGAACUCGGGUGAAGGAACUAGGCAAAAUGGUGCCGUAACUUCGGGAGAAGGCACGCUGACACGUAGGUGAAGUGAUUUACUCAUGGAGCUGAAGUCAGUCGAAGAUACCAGCUGGCUGCAACUGUUUAUUAAAAACACAGCACUGUGCAAACACGAAAGUGGACGUAUACGGUGUGACGCCUGCCCGGUGCCGGAAGGUUAAUUGAUGGGGUCAGCGCAAGCGAAGCUCCUGAUCGAAGCCCCGGUAAACGGCGGCCGUAACUAUAACGGUCCUAAGGUAGCGAAAUUCCUUGUCGGGUAAGUUCCGACCUGCACGAAUGGCGUAAUGAUGGCCAGGCUGUCUCCACCCGAGACUCAGUGAAAUUGAACUCGCUGUGAAGAUGCAGUGUACCCGCGGCAAGACGGAAAGACCCCGUGAACCUUUACUAUAGCUUGACACUGAACAUUGAGCCUUGAUGUGUAG
This 988-nucleotide ribosomal RNA is filed under the name Salmonella enterica. Its description in RNAcentral is "partial 23S ribosomal RNA". It matches the Rfam family "Bacterial large subunit ribosomal RNA", at positions 1171 to 2141 of the family's 2925-position model. The record is from RNAcentral. Lineage: Bacteria; Pseudomonadati; Pseudomonadota; Gammaproteobacteria; Enterobacterales; Enterobacteriaceae.